Molecule: non-coding RNA, 168 nt
Rfam family: Lysine riboswitch aptamer
About the family: Riboswitches are metabolite binding domains within certain messenger RNAs that serve as precision sensors for their corresponding targets. Allosteric rearrangement of mRNA structure is mediated by ligand binding, and this results in modulation of gene expression. This family includes riboswitches that sense lysine in a number of genes involved in lysine metabolism, including lysC.
UUUUGGUAGAGGUUGCGUGGUUCAUCAGUACACCAUUGGAUAUAUCAGGUAUAGAAGAAGAUGGUCAAAAGGGAAAUACGCCGAAGGAAUCGUUGUCCUGUUACAAUAAUUCUUGGGUAUAUAGUGAAGAACUAUAUAACUGUCAUCUAAAGGAUGGAGUGCUAUCUA